Molecule: ribosomal RNA, 425 nt
Filed under: uncultured bacterium
Lineage: Bacteria
Description: bacterial SSU rRNA
Rfam family: Bacterial small subunit ribosomal RNA
Source: RNAcentral
GUGGGGAAUCUUAGACAAUGGGGACAACCCUGAUCUAGCCAUGCCGCGUGAGUGAUGAAGGCCUUAGGGUCGUAAAGCUCUUUCGCUGGGGAAGAUAAUGACGGUACCCAGUAAAGAAACCCCGGCUAACUCCGUGCCAGCAGCCGCGGUAAUACGGAGGGGGUUAGCGUUGUUCGGAAUUACUGGGCGUAAAGCGCGCGUAGGCGGAUUGGAAAGUUGGGGGUGAAAUCCCGGGGCUCAACCCUGGAAUGGCCUUCAAAACUCCCAGUCUUGAGGUCGAGAGAGGUGAGUGGAAUUCCGAGUGUAGAGGUGAAAUUCGUAGAUAUUCGGAGGAACACCAGUGGCGAAGGCGGCUCACUGGCUCGAUACUGACGCUGAGGUGCGAAAGCGUGGGGAGCAAACAGGAUUAGAUACCCCAGUAGUCC